UACGUAGGGUGCAAGCGUUGUCCGGAAUUAUUGGGCGUAAAGAGCUCGUAGGCGGUCUGUCGCGUCGGCUGUGAAAACUCGGGGCUCAACUCCGAGCUUGCAGUCGAUACGGGCAGGCUAGAGUGCGGUAGGGGUGACUGGAAUUCCUGGUGUAGCGGUGGAAUGCGCAGAUAUCAGGAGGAACACCGAUGGCGAAGGCAGGUCACUGGGCCGCAACUGACGCUGAGGAGCGAAAGCAUGGGGAGCGAACAGG
RNAcentral lists this ribosomal RNA (253 nucleotides) under uncultured bacterium. RNAcentral describes it as "partial 16S ribosomal RNA". It matches the Rfam family "Bacterial small subunit ribosomal RNA", at positions 524 to 776 of the family's 1533-position model. The record is from RNAcentral.